GAUGAACGCUAGCGGCAGGCCUAAUACAUGCAAGUCGAGGGAGAAUGUUGGAUUCGUCUGACAUGAAACCGGCGCACGGGUGCGUAACACGUAUGCAACCUACCUUUAACUGGGGUAUAGCUCAGAGAAAUCUGAAUUAAUCCCCCAUAAGACUACGACAUGGCAUCAUGAUGUAGUUAAAGCUCAGGCGGUUAAGGAUGGGCAUGCGGUACAGUAGCUAGUUGGUGAGGUAAUGGCUCACCAAGGCUACGAUGUAGAGGGGGUCUGAGAGGAUGAUCCCCCACACUGGUACUGAGGCACGGACCAGACUCCUACGGGAGGCAGCAGUAGGGAAUAUUGGUCAAUGGACGCAAGUCUGAACCAGCCAUGCCGCGUGAAGGAUGAAGGCCCUAUGGGUCGUAAACUUCUUUUAUUAGGGAAGAAAAAACGGGAUGCGUCCUGUACUGACGGUACUUAAUGAAUAAGGAUCGGCUAACUUCGUGCCAGCCGCCGCGGUAA
Molecule: ribosomal RNA, 498 nt
Filed under: uncultured bacterium
Lineage: Bacteria
Description: partial 16S ribosomal RNA
Rfam family: Bacterial small subunit ribosomal RNA
Source: RNAcentral